Molecule: ribosomal RNA, 446 nt
Filed under: uncultured bacterium
Lineage: Bacteria
Description: partial 16S ribosomal RNA
Rfam family: Bacterial small subunit ribosomal RNA
Source: RNAcentral
CCUACGGGUGGCAGCAGUCGAGAAUCAUUCACAAUGGGGGAAACCCUGAUGGUGCGACGCCGCGUGGGGGAAUGAAGGUCUUCGGAUUGUAAACCCCUGUCAUGUGGGAGCAAAUUAAAAAGAUAGUACCACAAGAGGAAGAGACGGCUAACUCUGUGCCAGCAGCCGCGGUAAUACAGAGGUCUCAAGCGUUGUUCGGAAUCACUGGGCGUAAAGCGUGCGUAGGCUGUUGCGUAAGUCGUGUGUGAAAGGCGCGGGCUCAACCCGCGGACGGCACAUGAUACUGCGAGACUAGAGUAAGGGAGGGGGAACCGGAAUUAUCGGUGUAGCAGUGAAAUGCGUAGAUAUCGAGAGGAACACUCGUGGCGAAGGCGGGUUCCUGGACAUUAACUGACGCUGAGGCACGAAGGCCAGGGGAGCGAAAGGGAUUAGAUACCCGAGUAGUC